CAGUCGACGGGAUUCAGUCGACGGGAUUCAGGGUAGCAAUACUUUGAUGAGAGUGGCGCACGGGUGCGUAACACGUAUGCAACCUACCUUAAACCGGGACAUAACCUCGGGAAAUCGUGGCUAACAUCCCAUAAUAUCUGUGGAUCGCAUGUUUUACAGAUUAAAAUUCCGAUGGUUUAAGAUGGUCAUGCGCGACAUUAGCUAGUUGGUGAGGUAACGGCUCACCAAGGCCACGAUGUCUAGGGGGUCUGAGAGGAUGAUCCCCCACACUGGUACUGAGACACGGACCAGACUCCUACGGGAGGCAGCAGUAAGGAAUAUUGGGCAAUGGGCGCAAGCCUGACCCAGCCAUGCCGCGUGCAGGAUGACAGCCCUACGGGUUGUAAACUGCUUUUAUACGGGAAAAAGCCCCCCGACGUGUCGGGGGCUGAUGGUACCGUAAGAAUAAGCAUCGGCUAACUCCGUGCCAGCAGCCGCGGUAAUACGGAGGAUGCAAGCGUUAUCCGGAUUUACUGGGUUUAAAGGGUGCGCAGGCGGAACAAUCAGUCAGUGGUGAAAUCUCCCGGCUUAACCGGGAAACUGCCGUUGAUACUAUUGUUCUUGAGUCCAGUUGUAGUAGGCGGAAUGUAGCAUGUAGCGGUGAAAUGCUUAGAAUAUGCUACAGAACACCGAUAGCGAAGGCAGCUUACUAAACUGAGACUGACGCUCAGGCACGAAAGCGUGGGUAGCAAACAGGAUUAGAUACCCUGGUAGACCACGCCCUAAACUAUGAUCACUCGUUGUUGGCAAUAUAUCGUCAGCGACUAAGCGAAAGCAUUAAGUGAUCCCCACCUGGGGGAGUACGAUCGCAAGGUUGAAACUCAAAGGAAUUGACGGGGGGCCCGCACAAGCGGAGGAGCAUGUGGUUUAAUUCGAUGAUACGCGAGGAACCAUACCUGGGGCUAGAACGCAGAAACGAUGUUUCGGGGAAACCGGAAUUCUCUUCCGGAGCGGU
Molecule: ribosomal RNA, 994 nt
Filed under: uncultured bacterium
Lineage: Bacteria
Description: bacterial SSU rRNA
Rfam family: Bacterial small subunit ribosomal RNA
Source: RNAcentral